UAAAUUGUUACAAAGGAACUAUUGCUUGGUAGUAAUGAAAACCACAACACUUUACAGCCAGUUGAAUGUUCAAAGACCACAUUACUGUUCUACCAGUGGGGAGAGUAGCUUUGAAAAAGAUGCCAGGGAGACUCCCCUUACCUUGUGAUUUUUUUUUAUUGCAGCUGUGCCUAGAAUGGGUAUGUCAUACAUGUCUGUUUGUCUUCAAACUGGUAUAAAUGAACCACAAUCCAACGUGGACAUUGUUUCUCUUUAGGCAAGCACAUACUGGAGGAAAACCUGGACACUUUUUCUCAGUUAGUGAAUGUGGUAACUGAAUGAGGCCAACUACCAAAUCCAGAUUUGGACCAUUUUACUGCAGAAUAUAAAUGACUGAGAGACUGAGAUCAUCAAAUCCAACCCUCUCCCGCUGCAGGCACAUAUAUGAUGGACUGCAAGUCUAAACGGUGAAGAGAACAUCUUUUGCCAUGAGUCCCACAGCUACACUGUUAUAUACAGACAGACAGGAAAAGGUGUCUGCCCUGGGGAGAAAAAGGUUGCCAACUGGUGGAAGAUGGCUCUUUGAAAGGGAUAGCAUCUUCUUCAUUUGACAAGGCAUGAUGAUCCUGCCCCUUCUUCUCUAGCCUUCAUAUCAUAGCAUACAUACCAUCCUUGUAAUUUAAAUUGCACGUAUGUACACACCCCCUGCCUACUGCAUCAGUUCUUAGAGAUAAAAUCACUUUGUUGUUUGCUGAAUUCAACCAC
Lepidothrix coronata (blue-crowned manakin) is the source of this 744-nucleotide long non-coding RNA. RefSeq lists it as uncharacterized. Lineage: Eukaryota; Metazoa; Chordata; Aves; Passeriformes; Pipridae. The record is from RefSeq and is a predicted model, not a curated record. The transcript is spliced from 3 exons.